This 83-nucleotide transfer RNA is filed under the name Actinopolymorpha pittospori. RNAcentral describes it as "tRNA-Thr". Lineage: Bacteria; Bacillati; Actinomycetota; Actinomycetes; Propionibacteriales; Actinopolymorphaceae. The record is from RNAcentral.
GCAGGCGUGUGGCAGCCCAUUCGGGGCUGGUCGGCCCUCUUGUAAUCGGGCGGUUAGGGGUUCAAGUCCCCUCGCUGGCUCCA